GGCCUGCGGAGGCGGCGGGGGGCCCGCGGUUCCGAGGCUCCUGCUAAAGAUACUUGGCGGCAGCGAGGCCGCAGGCCUGUGGCCGGGCGCCAGGCCCGACCGCGAGUCAUUUCCAUACGCGGGUCAGCCCGCGGCGUGUUUACAGCCGCCUCUCCCCAGAGCUCUACCAGGAAGGCCCGGCCCCCGGGCCCCGGGAGGGAGGCCGGCGCUGGCUGUGGGCGGCGGGCUGCGUGCCUCUGGCCGGGAGAGCGCGGUUCCCAUCAACGCCGAUUACCGGCGGCCGCCCCCGACGGGAGGUCGGGAAGCAGGCCGCCGGCACCGCGGGGCCGUGCGAAAUGAUGUCGGUGAGACCUGUCUGUGGGGCUGUGUGCUUAUAAAUACACGCCGGGCCGCUGGCCGGGCGCCGCGGGCGCCCAAACAGCCCUGCGCGCAGCUGUAUUUGAGAUGGAAACGCGGGCGCAGGGGCCGGGCCGACCCCUCGGGGACCCUGGGCGAGCGCUCGCUUCCUCCCGCCGCACCGCGCUCGCCCUGCGGCUGCGGGCCCAGGCCGUUAGGGAGAGUGUGGAGCCGGGGCUUGGGUUCCCACCGCGGCCUCUUUAUAAAGAGACCCUUCUCUGAUGUGGAGGCCUUUGGAAGCGUCUCCUCCUUGUCCUUCUCCCUCAUCGCUCCAGAGCUACCUGGUUGAGCCUCAGCGUUCACCUUGGGAUCAUUGUGAAGUGACCCUGCUUGGGGACCCUCCCCGAACCCGGCCGUAGGCCCAAGCCGGGAUGCAUUCCUUCAGGCGCCGAGAGGGGCCUGUCUGCAUGUCACCCCUCCGCACCCCGCCUGGCCCCCCCCGGACUGCAACAGAGCCUGCUCCUGGAGACAAGGGCGCGCAGCUGGCUGACGUCACCAGGAAUGCUCGGGGGCCUGCACGGAGCCGAGAUGAGAUGUCACUGGGAGCAACUGGACGGUCCGUCCCGUCAUCUGCUUCGGAAACGAGCCGGUGCUACAGGGACGGAGAAGUCUGCGGAAACAUCUGAGAACGUUGCAUCUGGUUGAUUUGCCUCCCAGCUCUGCCCUCCUCCUUUCCCGCCCUGCUCACUCUUCGCCUCUGGGGCUUCUGUCCCCAGGAGGCAGUCUACAAGAGCGUUUGGGAGCAGAGCACUUGGAAUCCGCCUUGGCUCCCUCCUGGCUCUACUCCUUGCCAGCUGUGUGACGUUGGGCAUGGCAUGCAAAUGGGGCGAACAGUGGGCCCUGCCUCCUGGGGCUUGGGCAAUGAAUGAAUUGGUACUGAUGGAGCCCCAGCACUGUUCCCAGCACAUAGUAGGCACAUGAUAGCUGAGGAUCAUUUGAAUUAAGCUGCAACCUCAGAAUCAAAGGUCGAGGCCUAGGAAUGAGACAUUCCAUUUAACUGAUUAGACGCCUAAGCCUUGACUGUAUCUUAACUAUGCUCUGGGG
Molecule: long non-coding RNA, 1440 nt
Organism: Bos taurus (domestic cattle)
Lineage: Eukaryota; Metazoa; Chordata; Mammalia; Artiodactyla; Bovidae
Source: Ensembl